RNAcentral lists this ribosomal RNA (450 nucleotides) under uncultured bacterium. Its description in RNAcentral is "partial 16S ribosomal RNA". It matches the Rfam family "Bacterial small subunit ribosomal RNA", at positions 354 to 796 of the family's 1533-position model. The record is from RNAcentral.
GUGGGGAAUCUUCCGCAAUGGACGAAAGUCUGACGGAGCAACGUCGCGUGAGUGAAGAAGGUUUUCGGAUCGUAAAGCUCUUUCGUUAGGGACGAACGUGCUCUUUGUGAAUAAUGAGGAGUAAUGACGGUACCUAAAUAAGAAGCCACGGCUAACUACGUGCCAGCAGCCGCGGUAAUACGUAGGUGGCAAGCGUUGUCCGGAAUUAUUGGGCGUAAAGCGCGCGCAGGCGGGAUAUCAAGUCUGUCUUAAAAGUGCGAGGCUCAACCUCGUGAGGGGACAGAAACUGGUAUUCUUGAGUGUCGGAGAGGAAAGUGGAAUUCCAAGUGUAGCGGUGAAAUGCGUAGAGAUUUGGAAGAACACCAGUGGCGAAGGCGACUUUCUGGACGAUGUCUGACGCUGAGGCGCGAAAGCUAGGGGAGCGAACGGGAUUAGAAACCCGUGUAGUCC